This 372-nucleotide ribosomal RNA is filed under the name uncultured organism. RNAcentral describes it as "bacterial SSU rRNA". It matches the Rfam family "Bacterial small subunit ribosomal RNA", at positions 526 to 896 of the family's 1533-position model. The record is from RNAcentral.
CAGAGGGGGCAAGCGUUGUUCGGAAUUACUGGGCGUAAAGGGCGCGUAGGCGGCCCGCUAAGUCGAACGUGAAAUCCCCGGGCUCAACCCGGGAACUGCGUCCGAUACUGGCGGGCUCGAAUCCGGGAGAGGGAUGCGGAAUUCCAGGUGUAGCGGUGAAAUGCGUAGAUAUCUGGAGGAACACCGGUGGCGAAGGCGGCAUCCUGGACCGGUAUUGACGCUGAGGCGCGAAAGCCAGGGGAGCAAACGGGAUUAGAUACCCCGGUAGUCCUGGCCCUAAACGAUGAAUGCUUGGUGUGGCGGGUAUCGAUCCCUGCCGUGCCGAAGCUAACGCAUUAAGCAUUCCGCCUGGGGAGUACGGUCGCAAGGCUG